Molecule: ribosomal RNA, 727 nt
Filed under: Ozestheria pilosa
Lineage: Eukaryota; Metazoa; Arthropoda; Branchiopoda; Diplostraca; Cyzicidae
Description: partial large subunit ribosomal RNA
Rfam family: Eukaryotic large subunit ribosomal RNA
Source: RNAcentral
AAGCCCAGCACCGAACCUCGCGCCCCCGGGUGUCGCGGAAUGUGGUGUUUAGGAGGACCGUGCGCGUCUGUCCGGUAUCGUCCAAGUCUCCAUGAAUGGGGCCAGUAACCCAGAGAGGGUGUCAGGCCCGUAGGACUGAGCCGCGACGGCGUAUUGGGUCUCUCCUUAGAGUCGGGUUGCUUGAGAGUGCAGCCCUAAGUGGGAGGUAAACUCCUUCUAAGGCUAAAUACGGCCACGAGACCGAUAGCGAACAAGUACCGCGAGGGAAAGUUGAAAAGAACUUUGAAGAGAGAGUUCAAUAGUGCGUGAAACCGUUCAGGGGGUUAAACGGGUGGGCCCUCGAAGGUCGAACGCUCCCUACUCGCGUCUCCGCGCGUCGGUCCGUGCCGCUUUUUCCGAUCUCGCUACGGGACGGAGCGGUGCGGUAACUUGGCGAGCGGGGGCGUUUAGUUAGGGGGCCAGUAGGACUCCGCAACCGUCUGGAGAGUCGUCAGAAGGGCUCUGGUAGAAAGCCUCCUCGCGGGGUGGACUCCGGGGUUCCGGGCGAUCUCUCCGGCCGUGAACCGGCAUUCCACUCGGCUGGCGUCCGUGACGAGCCUCCCUUCACGGGGGGGUUGUCGGUUGCGGGCGUCACCGGGGGACGCUAGCGGAGAGUAGAGUCGGGUCCCACCCGACCCGUCUUGAAACACGGACCAAGGAGUCUAACAUGUGCGCGAGUCGUCGGGAU